CGGAGGGCAAGUCUGGUGCCAGCAGCCGCGGUAAUUCCAGCUCCAAUAGCGUACGUUAAAGUUGCUGCAGUUAAAAAAGCUCGUAGUUGAACGUUCGGGUUCCGCGGGACGGGGCCGCCCCGCGAGGGACGGCGCCGCCCCGGGGCUCGUGAUAUCUUAUCUCGCCGCCCGUCGCGAGGCGGACGGAGGGAUGGAUGAGGUUACCUGGAAAAAAUCGGGGCGAUCUAGGCGGGCGAACCUCGCCAACGAACGAUCGGACAUGGGAUAACGGAAGAGGGCGUCGGCUCGACUUCGUCGGUUCCUCGGGCCGAGGCACGUACGGUGAAUAGGGACGGUCGGGGCCGCCCGUACCGGGUCGUGAGAGGUGAAAUUCUAGGAUCGACCCGAGACGAACUGCCGCGAAAGCAUUCGGCAAGGACGCUUUCAUUAAUCAAGAACGAAAGUCGGGGGAUCGAAGACGAUCAGAUACCGUCGUAGUCCCGACCGUAAACGAUGCC
Molecule: ribosomal RNA, 497 nt
Filed under: uncultured eukaryote
Lineage: Eukaryota
Description: bacterial SSU rRNA
Rfam family: Eukaryotic small subunit ribosomal RNA
Source: RNAcentral